RNAcentral lists this ribosomal RNA (165 nucleotides) under uncultured bacterium. RNAcentral's name for it is "partial 16S ribosomal RNA". It matches the Rfam family "Bacterial small subunit ribosomal RNA", at positions 1336 to 1500 of the family's 1533-position model. The record is from RNAcentral.
UAGUAAUCGCGAAUCAGAAUGUCGCGGUGAAUACGUUCCCGGGUCUUGUACACACCGCCCGUCACACCACGAGAGUUUACAACACCCGAAGUCAGUGGCCUAACCGCAAGGAGGGAGCUGCCUAAGGUGGGGUAGAUGAUUGGGGUGAAGUCGUAACAAGGUAAC